UUAACCAGAACAGUGGUAAACGUUAACACUAUCGUCUAUGGAAAAUCAUUUGGUUCUGCGGUCCCUAUAGAAAGAUGCAGGAUAUGACGUUCUACACCAUCCAAGCGUCCCUGGAAACCAGAUGAUGGGACCCACCAGCAUAUUUCUGGUUGUGAAUCUAUUCAUGGAUGUGUUUUGGCAGACUUAAGAGGGAAAAUUAGCUGCAGAAGGAUACUAUACGAAAAUUUACAUCCAUAUAGAGUGUGGAGGGGGGCCAUGGAUUAGGGAGGAUAUGCGCGUAUUGUGGUUAGAUGGCCAAACGGACACAGAACAACAAAGAGCACUAGUGCUCCGACUGUCACUGAUGAUACAUUAUAGAUUGCUGAAGGAGGAUUUCCCGAGGACGGACUGUGACGUCAUGAUUUUGGAGAUCCUUGGACACAGAGCUCUAAGCAGUGAUUGGAGGCCAAGCCCCACUACACAGUUCUUUAAUAACAGUCCCCGGUUCAUGGUUCACAUGACACCCUGCCCUAUGAGCUCUCCCUGUAAAGUUACUAGUAAAGUUCACACGUGAUGGGAGAGACUUCUUCAGCCGUCUGUUCACAGAUUCUACCUUUUGGGUCGACAGGUUUCUGAGGGUCAUUUCCAACACGGAGUCACCGAGACAAGCCUUAACUUUCUCCGUCAGAAUUUUUGACACCGCUGACCUUGAAAUCACUUGGAAUCUCCAUCUUCAGUACCAGUAGAAGACUUGACCUAGCAGCCAAAGCCGUGAAGCCAACCACUUCCCAUUUUGGUUUCAUACCCUAUGGUCCUGCCUUUUUCCAAAAAUGGUAAAUUUGAAAAAUAUGUUGGAUCCUAUAGGGACCACGGAACCAAA
Long non-coding RNA from Mizuhopecten yessoensis (Yesso scallop), 859 nucleotides. RefSeq lists it as uncharacterized. The record is from RefSeq and is a predicted model, not a curated record. NCBI's taxonomy places the organism in Eukaryota, Metazoa, Mollusca, Bivalvia, Pectinida, Pectinidae. The transcript has 3 exons.